AACGGGAUCCCGGGAACUGGGAUUAUACUCCAUAUAUCGUCAUACCUGGAAUGGUAUCUCCACUUAAAGAUCCGGCGCUCCAGGAUGAAUCUGCGGCCGAUUAGGUAGUUGUUGGGGUAACGGCCCACCAAGCCUUUCAUCUGUACGGGUUGUGAGAGCAAGAGCCCGGAGAUGGAUUCUGAGACACGAAUCCAGGCCCUACGGGGCGCAGCAGGCGCGAAAACUUUACCAUGCGAGCAAUCGUGAUAGGGAAACCCCGAGUGCCACUCUUAGCUGGCUGUCUUUUCGUUUAUGUAACUGGCUUUUAAAAGACCAGCUGAGACCGAUGCCUGCCACCACCCUAAUACAAUCCAU
RNAcentral lists this ribosomal RNA (354 nucleotides) under uncultured archaeon. RNAcentral's name for it is "bacterial SSU rRNA". The stretch from base 1 to 260 matches the Rfam family "Archaeal small subunit ribosomal RNA", at positions 120 to 384 of the family's 1478-position model. The record is from RNAcentral.